AUGGAAAUGACUAAAGUAGUCAAACCUGUUCACUGGAAGCGGAUGAGCGAAUACUUUUGGCAAUAUAGUGUAUGUGUGCCAAUAAAAGUUUAUACCUGUGUAUAUACUUGUAAAUACUACACUUGUUUCUUUUUUUCCCAAACAGACAUGUUCAAAAUUGUCGAAUUUGUUGAGACACAUGAGGUGGAGCUGGUUCCAGCCAUUUGGGUGGAGAAUGGCCAGUGCUAUUGGCCUAAUUCACUGAGGGGUAUGGCCCUUCACCUGGCCAUUAAAAACAAGACACCUCCUAACUGUGACUGGGGAAGUUGGGAAGUCCGAACAAUGUUUUCAACAGACAGCUAUGAAGAGGGCAGAAGGAAGGCUAAAGAGGCAGAGACCUGGUCAGACCUCCAGUCAGACGCAGAAAUGUCUGGACAGAAACCACCAAGGCGUAAAAUGAAGAGUGUUCGAAUUGGCCCACCUGGAGGUUGCUUAAUGGACUCAGAGGAGGAAUCUGGCCCACCCCCCAAGCAACUUCUUCCACCUGCCCCCACUGUAAACCUCCCUGUAGUCAUCCCAAACACCACUUUCACCCCUGUUCCCAUCACCACAUUGCCAGCAGCAGCAGCACCACCACCACAAGGGACAUAUACAGAGAUGCUGCAAAAUUGGCAGCCGAUGGACGAUGUGCCACCGCUGCGGAGUUGUCAGACGUUCAGAAUUGCCCCCCAGCAAUCAUCAGAACCAGCCCUGCUGAGGGAGGUUCUAACAAAAUUAGAGAUGGUGCUGGACCAGCAAUCCACCAUCCUCAGAUUGUUGCAGCUGCGGGAAGACCAGGGACAGCUUUUUGAACAUAGAGGAAGGUUUGCUGCCCCUGCAAGACCUUCCACAACUGCUCAGCCUUGAGCAAAGGAUUCAGCAGAGCCCAGAUUACAAGCAAAAACUGAUAAACUGGUUGGGGCUUAUUGGUGGGGCGGACGUGCGCGACUGCACCUGGCGCAUAUUAAAGAGGUUGAUUGCCAACUCUCUGGCAAAGAACCUUAAUUGGAGAGGAGUCAAUGGAAAGACUUCAGUGGCCACUCUUCAACUCAGAGAGGUUGUGAUUGGUAAGAAAACAGUAUCCCCCGAUUUCACAUACAAGGCUUAGGCCUAGUCCCGGACUAAAAUGUAAUUCUGAGCUAUUUCAACUGAAAGAAACUUGCACUGACUGAUAUUUAAAUAUAUCAGUGCCUUUGUUUUGUCUCAAGAUGCACACCAAUUAUGUUUUUACUAAGUCACAUUUAUAAAAAAUUACUUAGAUGUCCUUAUUGAACUAUUGACUAAUCCUGGCUGUAGUGGAUUCUGUAGUGGGUACGAGUAAAUACAGUUCUUUACAAUCUGUAAUACACAUUAUCAUUAUUUAGGUCACUUCAAUCAAAUCAUGUUACACAGUAUGCACAACAACAGCAUGGCUAAACUGAGGAUCAUUUUUCAUUACUUUGAGACAAUAUGCUUUUUUUAUUUUUACUUUAAUUUAUAUGAAUUAUUUCCUCUCUCAGACGCAAAAACCAUCAAACCUAAAUUACAGUUUACUUGCUAACACAUUUGCAGUUGUUAUUAUAUAUUUUUGUCUAUAAUUAUUUUUAUUUAAUCAAUCUGAAUAUUAUAACAAUUAUUUGCAAUAAUUUAAAAUAAUAUAUUAUUAAUUAGCAGUAAACUUAAUUACUGUCAUAAAUAUUAGUUUUGUAUUUUUACUGUAAUAAAAAUAAUAAUAAUUAUAUUUCAUAUUAAUAGAUUAUUU
This is a long non-coding RNA of Cyprinus carpio carpio, 1759 nucleotides long. The record is from Ensembl. NCBI's taxonomy places the organism in Eukaryota, Metazoa, Chordata, Actinopteri, Cypriniformes, Cyprinidae.